ACUGCCCGGUAGCUAAAUGCGGAAGAGAUAAGUGCUGAAAGCAUCUAAGCACGAAACUUGCCCCGAGAUGAGUUCUCCCUGACCCUUUAAGGGUCCUGAAGGAACGUUGAAGACGACGACGUUGAUAGGCCGGGUGUGUAAGCGCAGCGAUGCGUUGAGCUAACCGGUACUAAUGAACCGUGAGGCUUAACCUUACAACGCCGAAGCUGUU
Molecule: ribosomal RNA, 211 nt
Filed under: Escherichia coli
Lineage: Bacteria; Pseudomonadati; Pseudomonadota; Gammaproteobacteria; Enterobacterales; Enterobacteriaceae
Description: partial 23S ribosomal RNA
Rfam family: Bacterial large subunit ribosomal RNA
Source: RNAcentral